Molecule: ribosomal RNA, 705 nt
Filed under: uncultured Bacilli bacterium
Lineage: Bacteria; Bacillati; Bacillota; Bacilli
Description: bacterial SSU rRNA
Rfam family: Bacterial small subunit ribosomal RNA
Source: RNAcentral
AAAAAGAAGAGUGGCGAACGGGUGAGUAACACGUGGGUAACCUGCCCAUCAGAAGGGGAUAACACUUGGAAACAGGUGCUAAUACCGUAUAACAAUCAAAACCGCAUGGUUUUGAUUUGAAAGGCGCUUUCGGGUGUCGCUGAUGGGUGGACCCGCGGUGCAUUAGCUAGUUGGUGAGGUAACGGCUCACCAAGGCCACGAUGCAUAGCCGACCUGAGAGGGUGAUCGGCCACAUUGGGACUGAGACACGGCCCAAACUCCUACGGGAGGCAGCAGUAGGGAAUCUUCGGCAAUGGACGAAAGUCUGACCGAGCAACGCCGCGUGAGUGAAGAAGGUUUUCGGAUCGUAAAACUCUGUUGUUAGAGAAGAACAAGGAUGAGAGUAACUGUUCAUCCCUUGACGGUAUCUAACCAGAAAGCCACGGCUAACUACGUGCCAGCAGCCGCGGUAAUACGUAGGUGGCAAGCGUUGUCCGGAUUUAUUGGGCGUAAAGCGAGCGCAGGCGGUUUCUUAAGUCUGAUGUGAAAGCCCCCGGCUCAACCGGGGAGGGUCAUUGGAAACUGGGAGACUUGAGUGCAGAAGAGGAGAGUGGAAUUCCAUGUGUAGCGGUGAAAUGCGUAGAUAUAUGGAGGAACACCAGUGGCGAAGGCGGCUCUCUGGUCUGUAACUGACGCUGAGGCUCGAAAGCGUGGGGAGCAAACAGG